Molecule: ribosomal RNA, 404 nt
Filed under: uncultured prokaryote
Also listed under: 1 other name
Description: bacterial SSU rRNA
Rfam family: Bacterial small subunit ribosomal RNA
Source: RNAcentral
CUAAGAAUAUUGGGCAAUGGAGGAAACUCUGACCCAGCCAUGCCGCGUGAAUGAAGAAGGCCUUCGGGUUGUAAAGUUCUUUUAGUAGUGAAGAUGAUGACAGUAGCUACAGAAAAAGCACCGGCUAACUUCGUGCCAGCAGCCGCGGUAAUACGAAGGGUGCAAGCGUUGUUCGGAUUUACUGGGCGUAAAGCGUCCGUAGGUGGUUUGUUAAGUCAGGGGUGAAAUCCCAGGGCCCAACCCUGGAACUGCCUUUGAUACUGGCAAGCUGGAGCGUGAUAGAGGAAGAUGGAAUAUCUGGUGUAGGGGUGAAAUCCGUAGAUAUCAGAUGGAACACCAAUGGCGAAGGCAGUCUUCUGGAUCAUUGCUGACACUGAGGGACGAAAGCGUGGGUAGCAAACAGA